Molecule: long non-coding RNA, 492 nt
Organism: Mesocricetus auratus (golden hamster)
Lineage: Eukaryota; Metazoa; Chordata; Mammalia; Rodentia; Cricetidae
Exons: 3
Source: RefSeq, a predicted model, not a curated record
CAAGUCCCACCCAUCUUGCUUCCCUAUUGGCCAACAGUACUGUAUUGACAUAUACACAGGACUUCCCCAUCAGUGGAUGCCUCUGGCCUGAGACACAGACAGACAGUUCCUGCAGAGACGGAGUAUGCAGAGGACGCCCCUGGGUCCCCAGGCCUUGGAGACUGCACAGCAUCAAAGUUACAUCCCUGGAGGAAGCAUCUCCGAUGAUGGCUGAGCAAGGCACUGGUCUGUACAUAUAGCAGAAUGUCAUUAGGAAUUACUUUAUUCCUACUUUUUUUUGAACAGUAGUACUUGGCUUUACUGGAGGCCCCUGGGCUAUCUCGUCCCAUGUUCUUGGUCUCCCAAGCAGUGUUGGGAAUGGACCCUGCAUCAAAUCUGACGUCGGUUGGUCACUCCUGUUAAGAGAAGCUUUCCUUGAGUGGAGCCUUCCCACCAGCCUGGUUCCAGAACCGCAUCAGUCCCAAAUAAACACACAGGAGGCUAUAUUCAUUA